Molecule: microRNA precursor, 85 nt
Filed under: Bombyx mori (domestic silkworm)
Lineage: Eukaryota; Metazoa; Arthropoda; Insecta; Lepidoptera; Bombycidae
Description: mir-2807 microRNA precursor family
Rfam family: mir-2807 microRNA precursor family
Source: Rfam by way of RNAcentral
UUAAUUCAAAUUUGUAUGGAGUUUGAAACGUUUAACUACGUUUACCGUUAGGGGCGCUGUUCCAACUCCAUACAAGUUUGAGUUA